UCACACUUUCCUCAGGAUCAGCGGACGUCGCUGCUUGUAGCAAUUAAAAAUAAUUUGUUUGGCUUGUUUUAUGUCAAAAAUCAUGAAAAUACAUCAUAAUAUAAGUAAUGCUGUUAUCAAAAGUUUGAAUAAAUUUAAAAAGAGAAAUUAUUGAAAAAUUGACGCCAACCCAGACCUUCAAUAAAAAGUCCGGAACUGGUUUAUUGACUGCCAAGACAGAUUGGAGUGACUCUUGAAACUAAAAAGCAAAAAUCGAAAAAUAUAUCAGCAAAUUCAGCCAAAUGUAAACUUAUUUCCCUCGCCCGAGUGGCUUUGAUUGAAAGGCAAAUAAGCUGCCGGAUUCAAUGAAAACAGAGACUACUCACAAUCCACGGAGGGGAUUGAAGAUAUAGACGGUUAUACGUAUACGUAUAUGAUGGAAAUCCAUUUGACGACGGGCGCUGACAGCGGCAAAAACAACAAGCAAUACAACAUUGGCGGGGAGCAUAAAUCAUUUGCACAGACAGAAAUGCAAAUCUUUGCAGAUUAAAACAAAAACAAGGCGGCUGUAUAAAUAAACAUCGUGCGAGUCAGACACAAAAACCUAAACCUGUCAAAUCUGCGAUAUCGUGGAGAUAAACUCCCCAGCCGGACGGGCGAUGGACUGGUCAGUAGAAGCCCCUGGAACCCACGGCCACCCCCUUCUAUGUGAAUAUUUGUUUUAAUUAAAUGCCAAUCGCCGUUCGUAAUUGCGGCACAUUAGGCCCACAAAAAAGCCAUGAAAAACUCUCAACAAAUCACAUAAAAUAUUUUUAAAAAUAUCUCCAACAUUUUAUCUUUUCAAGUUGAAAUCGAAGCGGACAUUAAUUGACCGGCAGAGAUUAGCCAGGCUGAUAUUCGAGAGGGACAGAUACCAUCGGCCAUAUAGAGAUCGUGGGGAGAAUGGCCAAUCGCCAAAACUGACAAGUCUUAGAAGGUCAAAAAGAUUGUACAAGAGCUCUGUGUUUGCUGAAGAUGAAAUUGAGAAGAAAGCUACAAUCAAAUAAUACAAAUAUAAAUACAAAUA
Drosophila ananassae is the source of this 1045-nucleotide long non-coding RNA. RefSeq lists it as uncharacterized. The record is from RefSeq and is a predicted model, not a curated record. NCBI's taxonomy places the organism in Eukaryota, Metazoa, Arthropoda, Insecta, Diptera, Drosophilidae. The transcript has 3 exons.